UACGAAGGGUGCAAGCGUUACUCGGAAUUACUGGGCGUAAAGCGUGCGUAGGUGGUGAGUUAAGUCUGAUGUGAAAUCCCCGGGCUCAACCUGGGAAUGGCAUUGGAUACUGGCUCGCUAGAGUGCGGUAGAGGGUGGUGGAAUUCCCGGUGUAGCAGUGAAAAUGCGUAGAGAUCGGGAGGAACAUCUGUGGCGAAGGGCGGCCACCUGGACCAACACUGACACUGAGCACGAAAGCGUGGGGAGCAAACAGGGAUUAGAAACCUAGAG
RNAcentral lists this ribosomal RNA (270 nucleotides) under uncultured bacterium. RNAcentral describes it as "partial 16S ribosomal RNA". It matches the Rfam family "Bacterial small subunit ribosomal RNA", at positions 524 to 791 of the family's 1533-position model. The record is from RNAcentral.